This is an RNA transcript of Musa acuminata AAA Group (dessert banana), 6040 nucleotides long. RefSeq lists it as uncharacterized. The record is from RefSeq and is a predicted model, not a curated record. NCBI's taxonomy places the organism in Eukaryota, Viridiplantae, Streptophyta, Magnoliopsida, Zingiberales, Musaceae. The transcript is spliced from 11 exons.
CUAACCCUAACCCAACACUAACCUGCUGCCGCUGCCGCUCUCGAUCCCGAUCCCGAUCGCGAUCUCGUCGCUCGCUGCCGCUGCUCGCGCCUCCCGCGAGCCCUCUCGCUGCUCGCGCCUCCUGCGAGCCCUCCCGCGAGCCCUCCCGCUGCUCGCGUCUCCUGCGAGCCCUCCCGCGAGCCUUCCCGCUGCUCGCGCCUCCCUCGAGCCCUCCCGCUGCUCGCGCCUCCCGCGUUUUUUAAAUCACUGGUUGCUGCUGCUCUACGUGUUGCUUGUUUGAGAUCGCUGAGAAACUUUCGGAACAGAAAUUGUGGCUUGCUUUGAAGUGGGAAUAUCAUCCUUGAAAAAUGCUUGAAAAAGAAAAGAUGGGACAAGCUACGUGGGAGAGAUUAUUAAUCGGUUAUAAAAGAUUUCUCAGGAUGUCUUGGUGUACUAUUGAGUCUGAUCCUGAUGUCAGACAAGUAGGCAAGUUCCAACCUAGAAACAAGUCACAACCAAUAAAGGGAACUGCUAAAUCUGUUUCUUUUAUUCUUCCUGAUGCUUCCAUUACUGGUCCUCCUCCCAUGGGAUCCUUUUCUGAGAUAACGAACCCUUCUUCUGUACAAGCGAAGAUCGAUAUACCUGUGGAGAAUCCUUUGCAUUCAUCAAUCAUAACCUCAGACUGCAAUGAAGGUGUUCAAAUAGAUCACCGAGAGGUGGGAGAAGAGAAUAGAGAAGAAAUCAGACUUCCAAAGGGUUUGGAGGAUAUUCAUACCGAGUCUCAAUCCCAAAUUGUUCAAAAACUUAAGCAGCGGAUCCAUGAAGGAAGGCCUACUUCAGAAAAUGAUGAAGAUGAUGAUGCUCAUAAACCAUGUAGGAAACUGAGAAAGAGGAUAGCCAAGUGCAGUACUGACCAAAUUGAAGUUGGAAGCAAUGAUGAACGUGAUAUUGACAACUUUAAUGUCUCUCAGAUGGAUAACAGCCAAAGUGAUGAUUGUCAUAGGGAUGAAGAUAUGCCUAGGCCAAAGAGGACCAAGAGAAAGUCAAAGAGGCAGACAAAUGAAUUCGAAAAACCCACUCCGAAGCGUAAGAAAGCCUUUGAAAAACCUGAUUCUGUUGUAGAGAAUUCACCUAAAAAGAAGUUUCCUCAUGCCACAAGGCGAAGGAGAAGGCAAGUGAACAAAGUUUUACUGCAAACACCUGAAGAUGAGAUUGACCCGAGACAGAUUAGCAUAAGAGACCUAAGAAUGCUUGCAGAAGCUAAGGAGCGUAUAGCAAGUAAAGAAGCGGCGGCAACGAGUAAAUUAUUCUCAGGUCAGAGCUUUGUAUUCAUUCUGUAGAAAAGGUCAGAAAAACACUUGUAGAUGGCAUACAGGGGCUUCUGUUGAAUUGUAGAUGCACUUUGCAAAGAAGCAAAUUAAUGCUUUUGGAGUGUGUGUGUGCUGGUUUGUGACGAUGCAGAUGUUGUGUCCAUGGUAGCUCAGUAAUCCCUUGAAUCUUUAUUUGUUUUGGUGAAUCUUACUUUUUCAAGUUAUUGGCAUCCUCAUCAAAGCACUUCCAUGUGUGGUUCUUGCAAGUGAUGAGACAAUUGCUUUGUCACAUGCUCAGAAACUACUUUCUCUAGUCUAUUAUGCAGGUCCGGACCUUUUAGUAAAUUACCUUCAGUCUCCUGUAAGUAUAGAUGUUCACAAUUUUUUGUUUCCAAAGAAUGUAUUAUUUAUUUUCUGUAGUGUAUUGGGACCUUCUUAUUUGUGUUUUUGACUUAAAUCCUUUGCAUGUUUUUAUUCUUGUGAUAAAAUUUUCUUUUAUUGACAUGACAUACAGUGCUAUUUAACUACUAAACAGUGUUAUUUGUAUCUUUUCCCUUUUUUUCUGAUGUUUUUAUUUCCUUUUCAUGUCUAAUAAUGAACUUGAAAGAGGGGGCAAAUAUACUUGUUUCAGCCUUGCGAAGGUAAUUCAACCCAUUUCUACAAAUGGUUUGGAGCUUAUCUUUUAUUAGUGAGGGUGUUUCAAUUGUUAAUUUGUUGCUUGUGAGAUAUAAAUGAAUUCUAUAGCCCUUUGUUUUUAGUCAAAGAUCAAUUAAGAAUAAAUAGAGAAAACAGUUAGGUAAAUGUAUUUUUGAGGUAAUAUAGUUUUUGGCUAGAAUAAGGUUUACACUUUCGAUCCGUACCAGUGUACCGAUCAUACUGUCAUGAACGAUCGUCGCGCACCCGUAACAACUUCGUUCAACGAAUCGGUUCGCUUUUGCAUGUUUUGCCUUGGUUUUGUGUGUUUUUGUUUGUAAAAAUCCAUGUUCGAACAGGUUGCAGCGGUACAGUGUGAUCUCUCGUUGCGUUGGGCCAAAUUGCCCCAAAAUGACUCCAUUUUUGCGUGCCGCAGCCUGUUUUCUGUAGACCGCAACUGAACGCAAAACGUCAGUCAUUUCAGCACCUUGGAACCGCCCGGGUGACACCAUGGGGGAUGGGGCUUCGGUAUAAUGUCGGUCGUUGAACAAUCUUCACAAGUUCAUACGUUAACUUGACAGGAACUUUCCUUCGUGCACGACACCCGGUGAGCAUUUAUUUGUGGACUUGCAACUGUUCGUUCUACCUUCUAAAAGGCGAGGCCAUCACCUUCAGUUCAAGUAGUUUAGAAUCCAAUAGCGACGAUGAGGAGUCGCAAGGUCCCUGAAUAGAAGCAAUGCAUUUGUUGAAUGCAUUGUGGGGUCAAAUGGGGGAGAACAUUAAGGCAAAGCCAUUGAAAGCAGGGAGUAGCAAGCUGAUGUACGUGGACAUUAAGCACAAUGGUCAAUGGUGGACACAGGCGCUAUCCACAACUUUAUUUCCAACCAAAAAGCAAAGCGACUUGGGCUAAUCUUGGAGAAGAACCCAAGUCGGAUGAAGGCAGUGAACUUGGAGGCCAAGUGGAUCGUCGAGCUAGCAAAGGGAGGUCCCCAUCACGAUAGAAACAUGGAGCGGGAGCACAAACAUGAUGGCGGUGUCAUUGGACGACUUUCAAGUGAUUCUCGGAAUGGAGUUCAUGCAUGCGAUGAAGUUGGUGCUAAUGUUGUUCCUAAACUCCCUAUGUAUGAUGGGAGGUAACGACCCCUGUGUGGUUCUCGUCUCUUGAAGAGUAACCAAGGACCCCCAACAAAUAUCGACAUUAUAAUUGAAGAAAGGGGUAUGAAAAGUCGAAUCAACAUUCGUGGCUGUUGUGAAGCUAGAGCCCCUCUACGGUGAGGUCGUUCAUGAAUCUACUAUGGUGGCAAACGUUUUGAAGGAGUUCACAGAUAUUAUGCCACUCAAGUUGCCGAAAACUCUACCACUACGCAAGGGCGUGGAUCAUCAUAUCGAGCUGGUACCGGGAGUGAAGCUUCCAGCGAGACCACCCUACCGCAUGUCCUCUGCAGAGUUGGAAGAGCUCAAAAAGUAGUUAGAUGAACUGCUAAGCGGUGGUCUCAUCCGCAGUUCUGAAGCAUCAUUUGGAGCUCCAGUUCUCUUCUAAAAGAAACAAGAUGGGAACCUCCGACUAUGCGUCGACUGUCGAGCCCUCAAUAAGGUGACGAUGAAGAACCAGUAUCCCAUCCCACUCAUUGCAGACUUGUUCGACCAGCAAAGUAUUUCUCCAAACUUGACCUUCGGUCGGGGUACUGGCAGGUGCGCAUUGCUGAAGGCGACGAAGUGAAGACUACUUGCGUGACCAAGUCUGGAGCGUUUGAGUUCUUAGUGAUGCGUUUCAGCUUAACCAAUGCUCUGGUCAUAUUCUGCACUCUUAUGAACCAACUAUUCAAAGAGUAUUUUGAUAAGUUUCUGGUCGUCUACUUGGACGAUAUCGUCGCCUACAGCCAAACGCUCGAGGAGCAUGUCGAGCACCUUCGAACUAUUUUCAAAGCUCGCUUCAUAGCUGGGUAUUCGAAGCGCGCAACUCCACUGACUGAGUUGUUGAAGAAGGAGCAACCUUGGAUGUAUCUGUUUCUUUUCAGCACUCAAUGAAAUAUAAUUCCAGUCUUUUGACAAAACCUAGGAGGUCGAUCCCCUCGAAAUGAUUAAAGAGGCUGAUCCCGUCGAAGUGAUCAUCCCCUUUUCUCCCCUUUCUUCUAUGAUUAAACUUUAGGGUCUUAUCAAUAGCGAAGAGGCGGCGGUCAGCUUCUUCGUCGCAUUCUUUGCCGAAGGCCGAAGGCACCUGCAACCGAGGUCUGCUGUACUGAAGCGUACUGCCCGUACCGAGGGGUACGUACCGGUCCGACAGGUUACCGGUAGACGGACCGCCCGAUACCGCUACAGUGCUACAGUACUAUACUGUAGCACUGCUACAGUAUGAAAAAAAAAUAAAAAAAAUAUUCGGUACACCAGGGCGUACCGCCCGGUACACUGGUACCAUAUCGUACCGAGCCCGGGUCGAAACGCCGGUACGGUACAGCGAAACUUGCCUACAACCUUCGUCGCAUUCUUCAUCGAUGGCCGAAGACAUCUGCUGCCUUCAACAUCUUCGCCAAACGCUACAUAUGAGGAGAAGACCGCGUUCUUCUCCUCGUCUAACAUAAGGAGAAGAAAAGGAGGCGACAUCGCUGAGGCAGCUUAUGCCUCCUUUUUUAUUUUUUAAUAUUUUAUAUAUUGAUUUUUAUUUUUUUAUGUGUCUAUAUAUAUAUAUAUAUAUAUAUAUAUAUAUAUAUAUAUAUAUAUGUAUCGAGCAGUACACCCUGGUGUAUCGCUCGGUACACCUAUAUCAUACCGUACUGAGCAAAGCUCGAAAUAUCGGCACAAUACAAAAUUACAAACCUUGGUUCAAGUGGUUGCAACUUUGAUCGUUGUCAAAUGUGGUGUCUCAGAUAUUGGGAGCCAGCCAAUGCCUAUUGGUAUUUGGAAUAUUGCAAUCGGCUGGUUUGUUUGGUAGUCAUCACCUAGUUUGUUUGGGAGUCAUCACUUACUUAUUUGAUAAUCUUAUUCAAGACAUUGCAUAUUCAUCCUACUUUUGGGUAAUAUAUCAUGAUGAUUUAAAUAUUUAGACAAUCUAAUUGAGUUUGCUUUUCAUUAUGCCCACUGAUAUCAAGUUAAUAAAUUGUCCUUCAGAAUAUAUAAGCACAACACAACUUUUUUUUCCUAAAUUGUUUAUGAAAUGUACCAAAAGAAAAGGCUGAAAAUGUUACCUUAGGGAAGGAGAAAAACAAUAAAUAUUAUUUGGGUCUUAUUCAGGAGAUUACUUGAAGAAGAAUAAAGUGAAUUUGCCUUUACUCAAGCAUAUUGAAUCUAGAUCAAUUAGUUGUAGAGGGCUUUCCUGUUUCCGUAGAUGUUGAUUACAUUGAUAUCAUGAAUACACUUGCUUUCCUGUUCUGUACAGACUAGACUUAUCUUUGCAAUUACUAAUUUGCAUUCAUGGAUUUAAAUUUUUCCUCAAUUAGAAACAUGCAUAUUAGUUUUUUCCAAGGUCCAUCUUUAUUAUGUUGACAAAGCUCAAAAGAAAACCAACAGAGGCUAUGCAUGGAGGAAGGUAAUGAAAUUUAUUGGUUCUUGGUUUUUUGUGUGUUUACUCUUCUUAGACCUUUCACAAGCAUUACUGAAACUUUAAUUACAAGCACUGCAGUUGCUGAAGCACUGUCCAUCAGCAUUCCUCUACCUUUGUUUCACCUUCACUAGCUGAAGACAUUUUCUCACUAUUUGUUGCCAGAACAAAAGCCAUAACUUUAAUUUUGGUAAUUAUGCAAGACCAUGAUGUUCCUAAGCCUCUUCUAUGGUAUGACAUGUUGUUCCUACCUUCUUCUUUGGUUUACAGAUGCCUUUCUACUCUAUUUUACAUAGACUAUUAUACAUCUGCUAAAGAGCCCUUUUAGUUGGCAAUAUAAGAUACUUGGACAACCAUGACAACCGAUUUUGUGCUGGUCUGUGAACCAAUUCCCUGUUUUGGAUUGACUUUAAUCCUUGAAUCUUUGUUCUUUGUUGCAGCAGCCGAAGAAAGAACCGGAUGAUCUUGAGGGCAUAGCGGAUGCAGCGCCGGAUGCCUUGCCAAAGGUGAAGGCGAACAAGAAGGAGAAGAAGCGGAAGCGCAAGGAUAAGGACUCUUCUGGUUGCAUCUCUGGCUUACCUAC